RNAcentral lists this microRNA (22 nucleotides) under Columba livia (rock pigeon). Its description in RNAcentral is "cli-miR-9637-5p". Lineage: Eukaryota; Metazoa; Chordata; Aves; Columbiformes; Columbidae. The record is from miRBase by way of RNAcentral.
CUCAGGACCAGGUGCCUUCUCC